UACGUAGGGGGCAAGCGUUGUCCGGACUUAUUGGGCGUAAAGAGCGUGUAGGCGGUUAUGCAGGUCCGCUGUGAAAACUGGAGGCUUAACCUCCAGACGUCGGUGGAAACCGUAUGACUAGAGUCCGGAAGAGGAGAGUGGAAUUCCUGGUGUAGCGGUGGAAUGCGCAGAUAUCAGGAAGAACACCCGUGGCGAAGGCGGCUCUCUGGGACGGUACUGACGCUGAGACGCGAAAGCGUGGGGAGCGAACAGG
Molecule: ribosomal RNA, 253 nt
Filed under: uncultured bacterium
Lineage: Bacteria
Description: partial 16S ribosomal RNA
Rfam family: Bacterial small subunit ribosomal RNA
Source: RNAcentral